This 62-nucleotide transfer RNA is filed under the name Bigelowiella natans. Lineage: Eukaryota; Cercozoa; Chlorarachniophyceae. The record is from RNAcentral.
GAGGAGGAGAAAAGAAAGAAUCUUCCGGAACGAUGACACCAAAAAGGGAAAAUGAGAAAGUA